Molecule: ribosomal RNA, 329 nt
Filed under: uncultured eukaryote
Lineage: Eukaryota
Description: partial 18S ribosomal RNA
Rfam family: Eukaryotic small subunit ribosomal RNA
Source: RNAcentral
CCCUUAGAUGUUCUGGGCCGCACGCGCGCUACAAUGAUGAAUUCAACGAGUUUAUAACCUUGGUUGAAAAGCCUGGGUAAUCUUUUGAACUUUCGUCGUGAUGGGGCUAGACCCUUGCAAUUAUUGGUCUCCAACGAGGAAUUCCUAGUAAACGCAAGUCAUCAGCUUGCAUUGAUUACGUCCCUGCCCUUUGUACACACCGCCCGUCGCACCUACCGAUUGAAUGGUCCGGUGAAAUCUUCGGAUUGAGACUUUGAUUUGUUUACUCAAAACGCUGUUUCAAGAAGUUGAUUAAACCUUACCAUUUAGAGGAAGGUGAAGUCGUAACA